RNAcentral lists this ribosomal RNA (433 nucleotides) under uncultured bacterium. RNAcentral describes it as "partial 16S ribosomal RNA". It matches the Rfam family "Bacterial small subunit ribosomal RNA", at positions 29 to 507 of the family's 1533-position model. The record is from RNAcentral.
AACGAACGCUGGCGGCAUGCCUAACACAUGCAAGUCGAACGAGACCUUCGGGUCUAGUGGCGCACGGGUGCGUAACGCGUGGGAACCUGCCCUUAGGUUCGGAAUAACUCCCCGAAAGGGGUGCUAAUACCGGAUAAUGUCUUCGGACCAAAGAUUUAUCGCCUUUGGAUGGGCCCGCGUUGGAUUAGCUAGUUGGUAGGGUAAAAGCCUACCAAGGCGACGAUCCAUAGCUGGUCUGAGAGGAUGAUCAGCCACACUGGGACUGAGACACGGCCCAGACUCCUACGGGAGGCAGCAGUGGGGAAUAUUGGACAAUGGGCGAAAGCCUGAUCCAGCAAUGCCGCGUGAGUGAUGAGGGCCUUAGGGUUGUAAAGCUCUUUUACCCGGAAUGAUAAUGACAGUACCGGGAGAAUAAGCUCCGGCUAACUCCGUG